RNAcentral lists this ribosomal RNA (477 nucleotides) under Candidatus Scalindua brodae. Its description in RNAcentral is "bacterial SSU rRNA". It matches the Rfam family "Bacterial small subunit ribosomal RNA", at positions 365 to 832 of the family's 1533-position model. Lineage: Bacteria; Pseudomonadati; Planctomycetota; Candidatus Brocadiia; Candidatus Brocadiales; Candidatus Scalinduaceae. The record is from RNAcentral. RNAcentral also lists the same sequence under 1 other name.
UUCGCAAUGCCCGAAAGGGUGACGAAGCGACGCCGCGUGGGUGAGGAAGGCCUUCGGGUUGUAAAGCCCUGUCAGGAGUUAAGAAAUGUAAGUGCGCUAAUAUCGCAUUUAUUUGACAAAGGCUCCAAAGGAAGCCACGGCUAACUCUGUGCCAGCAGCCGCGGUAAUACAGAGGUGGCAAGCGUUGUUCGGAAUUAUUGGGCGUAAAGAGCACGUAGGUGGGUUUGUAAGUCAGAUGUGAAAGCCUUCUGUUCAACGGAAGAAUUGCAUCUGAAACUACAAGUCUUGAGUGUAAGAGGGGAGAAUGGAACUUCUGGUGGAGCGGUGAAAUGCGUAGAUAUCAGAAGGAACGCCGGCGGCGAAAGCGAUUCUCUGGCCUAUUACUGACACUCAGUGUGCGAAAGCUAGGGGAGCAAACGGGAUUAGAUACCCCGGUAGUCCUAGCCGUAAACGAUGGGCACUAAGUAGAGGGGUUUU